Molecule: ribosomal RNA, 190 nt
Filed under: uncultured Actinomycetales bacterium
Lineage: Bacteria; Bacillati; Actinomycetota; Actinomycetes; Actinomycetales
Description: partial 16S ribosomal RNA
Rfam family: Bacterial small subunit ribosomal RNA
Source: RNAcentral
GAGUAAGCUUGGGAAACUGGGUCUAAUACCGGAUAGGAGCCAUCUUUGGUGUGGUGGUUGGAAAGUUUUUUCGGUGUAGGAUGAGCUCGCGGCCUAUCAGCUUGUUGGUGGGGUAAUGGCCUACCAAGGCGGCGACGGGUAGCCGGCCUGAGAGGGUGUACGGCCACAUUGGGACUGAGAUACGGCCCAG